Molecule: ribosomal RNA, 282 nt
Filed under: uncultured bacterium
Lineage: Bacteria
Description: partial 16S ribosomal RNA
Rfam family: Bacterial small subunit ribosomal RNA
Source: RNAcentral
UGGGGAAUAUUGCACAAUGGGCGCAAGCCUGAUGCAGCCAUGCCGCGUGUGUGAAGAAGGCCUUCGGGUUGUAAAGCACUUUCAGCGAGGAGGAAGGGUUCAGUGUUAAUAGCACUGUUCAUUGACGUUACUCGCAGAAGAAGCACCGGCUAACUCCGUGCCAGCAGCCGCGGUAAUACGGAGGGUGCAAGCGUUAAUCGGAAUUACUGGGCGUAAAGCGCACGCAGGCGGUUUGUUAAGUCAGAUGUGAAAUCCCCGCGCUUAACGUGGAACUGCAUUUGA